UACGUAGGGUGCAAGCGUUGCCCGGAUUUAUUGGGCGUAAAGCGCGCGCAGGCGGAUCUGUGCGUCCCGCGUGAAAUCGCCCGGCUCAACCGGGCGGGGUCGCGGGAUACGGCGGAUCUGGAGCAAGGGAGGGGGCAGUGGAAUUCCCGGUGUAGUGGUGGAAUGCGUAGAUAUCGGGAGGAACACCAGUGGCGAAGGCGACUUCCUGGCCUGUUCUUGACGCUGAGGCGCGAAAGCUAGGGUAGCAAACGGG
Molecule: ribosomal RNA, 253 nt
Filed under: uncultured bacterium
Lineage: Bacteria
Description: partial 16S ribosomal RNA
Rfam family: Bacterial small subunit ribosomal RNA
Source: RNAcentral